GUUAUAUGGUCAAGUGAAGAAGCGCAUACGGUGGAUGCCUUGGCAGUCAGAGGCGAUGAAAGACGUGGUAGCCUGCGAUAAGCUUCGGGGAGUCGGCAAACAGACUUUGAUCCGGAGAUCUCUGAAUGGGGGAACCCACCUAGGAUAACCUAGGUAUCUUGUACUGAAUACAUAGGUGCAAGAGGCGAACCAGGGGAACUGAAACAUCUAAGUACCCUGAGGAAAAGAAAUCAACCGAGAUUCCCUUAGUAGUGGCGAGCGAACGGGGACUAGCCCUUAAGUUGAUUUGAGAUUAGCGGAACGCUCUGGAAAGUGCGGCCAUAGUGGGUGAUAGCCCUGUACGCGAAAAUCUCUUAUCAAUGAAAUCGAGUAGGACGGAGCACGAGAAACUUUGUCUGAAUAUGGGGGGACCAUCCUCCAAGGCUAAAUACUACUGACUGACCGAUAGUGAACUAGUACCGUGAGGGAAAGGCGAAAAGAACCCCGGAGAGGGGAGUGAAAUAGAUCCUGAAACCGUAUGCGUACAAGCAGUGGGAGCCUACUUUGUUAGGUGACUGCGUACCUUUUGUAUAAUGGGUCAGCGACUUAUAUUCAGUGGCGAGCUUAACCGAAUAGGGGAGGCGUAGCGAAAGCGAGUCUUAAUAGGGCGUUUAGUCGCUGGGUAUAGACCCGAAACCGGGCGAUCUAUCCAUGGGCAGGUUGAAGGUUAGGUAACACUGACUGGAGGACCGAACCGACUACCGUUGAAAAGUUAGCGGAUGACCUGUGGAUCGGAGUGAAAGGCUAAUCAAGCUCGGAGAUAGCUGGUUCUCCUCGAAAGCUAUUUAGGUAGCGCCUCAUGUAUCACUGUAGGGGGUAGAGCACUGUUUCGGCUAGGGGGUCAUCCCGACUUACCAAACCGAUGCAAACUCCGAAUACCUACAAGUGCCGAGCAUGGGAGACACACGGCGGGUGCUAACGUCCGUCGUGAAAAGGGAAACAACCCAGACCGUCAGCUAAGGUCCCAAAGUCAUGGUUAAGUGGGAAACGAUGUGGGAAGGCUUAGACAGCUAGGAGGUUGGCUUAGAAGCAGCCACCCUUUAAAGAAAGCGUAAUAGCUCACUAGUCGAGUCGGCCUGCGCGGAAGAUGUAACGGGGCUCAAACCAUGCACCGAAGCUACGGGUAUCACUUAGGUGAUGCGGUAGAGGAGCGUUCUGUAAGCCUGUGAAGGUGAGUUGAGAAGCUUGCUGGAGGUAUCAGAAGUGCGAAUGCUGACAUGAGUAACGACAAUGGGAGUGAAAAACUCCCACGCCGAAAGACCAAGGUUUCCUGCGCAACGUUAAUCGACGCAGGGUUAGUCGGUCCCUAAGGCGAGGCUGAAAAGCGUAGUCGAUGGAAAACAGGUUAAUAUUCCUGUACUUCUGGUUAUUGCGAUGGAGGGACGGAGAAGGCUAGGCCAGCUUGGCGUUGGUUGUCCAAGUUUAAGGUGGUAGGCUGAGAUCUUAGGUAAAUCCGGGAUCUUAAGGCCGAGAGCUGAUGACGAGUGCUCUUUAGAGCGCGAAGUGGUUGAUGCCAUGCUUCCAAGAAAAGCUUCUAAGCUUCAGAUAACCAGGAACCGUACCCCAAACCGACACAGGUGGUUGGGUAGAGAAUACCAAGGCGCUUGAGAGAACUCGGGUGAAGGAACUAGGCAAAAUGGCACCGUAACUUCGGGAGAAGGUGCGCCGGUGAGGGUGAAGGACUUGCUCCGUAAGCCCAUGCCGGUCGAAGAUACCAGGCCGCUGCGACUGUUUAUUAAAAACACAGCACUCUGCAAACACGAAAGUGGACGUAUAGGGUGUGACGCCUGCCCGGUGCCGGAAGGUUAAUUGAUGGGGUUAGCUAACGCGAAGCUCUUGAUCGAAGCCCCGGUAAACGGCGGCCGUAACUAUAACGGUCCUAAGGUAGCGAAAUUCCUUGUCGGGUAAGUUCCGACCUGCACGAAUGGCGUAACGAUGGCGGCGCUGUCUCCACCCGAGACUCAGUGAAAUUGAAAUCGCUGUGAAGAUGCAGUGUAUCCGCGGCUAGACGGAAAGACCCCGUGAACCUUUACUAUAGCUUUGCACUGGACUUUGAAUUUGCUUGUGUAGGAUAGGUGGGAGGCUUUGAAGCGUGGACGCCAGUUCGCGUGGAGCCAUCCUUGAAAUACCACCCUGGCAACUUUGAGGUUCUAACUCAGGUCCGUCAUCCGGAUCGAGGACAGUGUAUGGUGGGUAGUUUGACUGGGGCGGUCUCCUCCUAAAGAGUAACGGAGGAGUACGAAGGUGCGCUCAGACCGGUCGGAAAUCGGUCGUAGAGUAUAAAGGCAAAAGCGCGCUUGACUGCGAGACAGACACGUCGAGCAGGUACGAAAGUAGGUCUUAGUGAUCCGGUGGUUCUGUAUGGAAGGGCCAUCGCUCAACGGAUAAAAGGUACUCCGGGGAUAACAGGCUGAUACCGCCCAAGAGUUCAUAUCGACGGCGGUGUUUGGCACCUCGAUGUCGGCUCAUCACAUCCUGGGGCUGAAGCCGGUCCCAAGGGUAUGGCUGUUCGCCAUUUAAAGUGGUACGCGAGCUGGGUUUAGAACGUCGUGAGACAGUUCGGUCCCUAUCUGCCGUGGACGUUUGAGAUUUGAGAGGGGCUGCUCCUAGUACGAGAGGACCGGAGUGGACGAACCUCUGGUGUUCCGGUUGUCACGCCAGUGGCAUUGCCGGGUAGCUAUGUUCGGAAGAGAUAACCGCUGAAAGCAUCUAAGCGGGAAACUUGCCUCAAGAUGAGAUCUCACUGGAGCCUUGAGCUCCCUGAAGGGUCGUCGAAGACUACGACGUUGAUAGGUUGGGUGUGUAAGUGCUGUGAGGCAUUGAGCUAACCAAUACUAAUUGCCCGUGAGGCUUGACCAUAUAACACCCAAGCAAUU
This 2915-nucleotide ribosomal RNA is filed under the name Pseudomonas sp. HLS-6. Its description in RNAcentral is "bacterial LSU rRNA". It matches the Rfam family "Bacterial large subunit ribosomal RNA". Lineage: Bacteria; Pseudomonadati; Pseudomonadota; Gammaproteobacteria; Pseudomonadales; Pseudomonadaceae. The record is from RNAcentral.